This 482-nucleotide ribosomal RNA is filed under the name uncultured Gammaproteobacteria bacterium. Its description in RNAcentral is "bacterial SSU rRNA". It matches the Rfam family "Bacterial small subunit ribosomal RNA", at positions 9 to 484 of the family's 1533-position model. The record is from RNAcentral. Lineage: Bacteria; Pseudomonadati; Pseudomonadota; Gammaproteobacteria.
GAGUUUGAUCCUGGCUCAGAUUGAACGCUGGCGGCGUGCUUAACACAUGCAAGUCGAGCGGUAACAGGCGUAGCAAUACGUGCUGACGAGCGGCGAACGGGUGAGUAAUGCUUCGGAAUCUUCCCGGUGGUGGGGAAUAACUUGGGGAAACUCAAGCUAAUACCGCAUACGACCUACGGGUGAAAGCAGGGGAUCGCAAGACCUUGCGCCAUUGGAUGAGCCGAAGUCGGAUUAGCUAGUUGGUGGGGUAACGGCCUACCAAGGCGACGAUCCGUAGCUGGUCUGAGAGGACGACCAGCCACACUGGGACUGAGACACGGCCCAGACUCCUACGGGAGGCAGCAGUGGGGAAUAUUGGACAAUGGGGGCAACCCUGAUCCAGCGACGCCGCGUGUGUGAAGAAGGCCUGCGGGUUGUAAAGCACUUUUAGUGGGGAUGAAAAGCCAGGGGCUAAUACCUUCUGGUCUUGACCUAACCCAAAG